Molecule: long non-coding RNA, 272 nt
Organism: Lepisosteus oculatus (spotted gar)
Lineage: Eukaryota; Metazoa; Chordata; Actinopteri; Semionotiformes; Lepisosteidae
Source: RefSeq, a predicted model, not a curated record
UUUCAAGUCUGUUGUACACAUUCUCAAUUUUGUCACACUGUCUAUGUUAUAGACAGGAGCCUAGAAAUUGCUGUAAAUGCUUACGAGGUGUUAUGAAAAUGGAACAGAGCAUAAUAAAGGAGUGGAAAAUUUUACAUGUCUGCCAAGAUUCCACUCGUUUCUAAAAAAUCAACCUGGACCACUUCCUCAAUGAAGGCAAGACGCCUGUUGGACUCUCUGACGUCCCUGGUUACUGUUUCCUAGGCAACCAGAAGUCUGGUGAAGGGAAUACA